GAAAUGCGAUAAGUAGUGUGAAUUGCAGAAUUCAGUGAAUCAUCGAAUCUUUGAACGCACAUUGCGCCCUUUGGUAUUCCUUAGGGCAUGCCUGUUCGAGCGUCAUUUAGCAACUCAAGCUCAGCUUGGUGUUGGGCGUCCUGUCCCCCUCACCGGGACUCGCCUCAAAUCGAUUGGCGGCCGGUACGUUGGCUUCGAGCGCAGCAGAAACGCGAACUCGGUGCCCGGCGAGCCGGCUCCCACAAGCCACACAUCUAACGUUUGACCUCGGAUCAGGUAGGGAUACCCGCUGAACUUAA
RNAcentral lists this unclassified non-coding RNA (299 nucleotides) under uncultured fungus. RNAcentral's name for it is "sequence contains ITS1". The stretch from base 1 to 105 matches the Rfam family "5.8S ribosomal RNA", at positions 50 to 154 of the family's 154-position model. The record is from RNAcentral. Lineage: Eukaryota; Fungi.